Long non-coding RNA from Leptopilina boulardi, 346 nucleotides. RefSeq lists it as uncharacterized. The record is from RefSeq and is a predicted model, not a curated record. The transcript is spliced from 3 exons. Lineage: Eukaryota; Metazoa; Arthropoda; Insecta; Hymenoptera; Figitidae.
AUACAUUCUAUUGUUUCCUGCCGUUUAACCUCUUUUGCAAUUAACAAGAAAAUUUUAGAUGACAGAAAUCGUUACAUUGAAAAGUGGUUGAGAUAAAAUCAAUUAAAUAAAUAAAUUAAUUAAUUAUCUCUAUAGGUAGCACACCUGACGGCAGGUUGAUGACUGCCGUAGAACAGGUCGAUGGCGAACCACCAACUGCAUUGCAGGCUUAGAAUAUUACCCGAUUAAUUCACAAUGUCUUUGCCUAAAUGUAACGCGUUAAACAUUGAAAUUCAGAUUAACUUGCGAGGUCUAGAUAUAUUUAGUUCGUUUCAAAAGCUUUGAGGGCUUGAUAAUGAUUUUAAUA